Molecule: long non-coding RNA, 608 nt
Organism: Myotis davidii
Lineage: Eukaryota; Metazoa; Chordata; Mammalia; Chiroptera; Vespertilionidae
Exons: 5
Source: RefSeq, a predicted model, not a curated record
CGCCCGGGACUCCCGUAGCCACCGGGCGGCGGCGGCCGUGACAGGAAGUUCCCCCACGGAGACGCGCGCGCCCGAACACGUGACUCCACGCCCGGCAACACGCAAUGCGCAUGCGCUAGGCGGAGCGGGUGUGGCGCCCCAACAGGGCGUACAGCACAUCGCCCUGGGUGACGUUGAGCCGCACGCGAAGGAGCAGGUCAUUAUGAGCCCCACAGGGAGGAGGCGGCAGGAGCCCAGAAUUAAAAUUUAAGACACUCAAAACAAAAGUCACUUAUCCAGUAAUUCAAGAGAGAAGCAUGAGCACCAGCUUAUAUUCUUCCCUUCCUCUAACCUCCCACAUCCAGCAGAGCACCCAGCACUGGACCUUACACCAACAGGUGCUCAGCAAAGAAUUGCCGCGUUUUGUAGGUACAGCUAGGUCUCCCGACGGUGACUUACCUUCCUGGCAACCAGCUGGAUGGCAUCAUCCUCAAAGGCCUUUAAGUGUUUGAGUCGGGACAUUAGGAUCUGCUGCAGCUGCCUGACUCCUUAGCACAGCUUCUGGAUCUGUAAGAACAACUUGAGAACGGCCCCAAAACCUACCAGUCGGCUUGACACCCGGUUCAUCA